RNAcentral lists this ribosomal RNA (468 nucleotides) under uncultured bacterium. RNAcentral's name for it is "partial 16S ribosomal RNA". It matches the Rfam family "Bacterial small subunit ribosomal RNA", at positions 28 to 507 of the family's 1533-position model. The record is from RNAcentral.
GACGAACGCUGGCGGCGUGCUUAACACAUGCAAGUCGAACGGUGAUGCUCCAGCUUGCUGGCGUGGAUCAGUGGCGAACGGGUGAGUAACACGUGAGCAACCUGCCCCAGACUCUGGAAUAAGCGCUGGAAACGGCGUCUAAUACUGGAUACGAAACUGGCCCGCAUGGGCAUGGUUUGGAAAGUUUUUCGGUUUGGGAUGGGCUCGCGGCCUAUCAGCUUGUUGGUGAGGUAAUGGCUCACCAAGGCGACGACGGGUAGCCGGCCUGAGAGGGCGACCGGCCACACUGGGCCUGAGACACGGCCCAGACUCCUACGGGAGGCAGCAGUGGGGAAUAUUGCACAAUGGGCGAAAGCCUGAUGCAGCGACGCCGCGUGAGGGAUGACGGCCUUCGGGUUGUAAACCUCUUUCAGCAGGGAAGAAGCGAAAGUGACGGUACCUGCAGAAGAAGCACCGGCUAACUACGUG